GCUCCCAUGGCGUAGUGGUCACUGCACUCGCCUUGCACGCGGGAGACCUGGGUUCGAUUUCCGGCGGGGUCA
Molecule: transfer RNA, 72 nt
Filed under: Diaphorina citri (Asian citrus psyllid)
Lineage: Eukaryota; Metazoa; Arthropoda; Insecta; Hemiptera; Psyllidae
Rfam family: tRNA
About the family: Transfer RNA (tRNA) molecules are approximately 80 nucleotides in length. Their secondary structure includes four short double-helical elements and three loops (D, anti-codon, and T loops). Further hydrogen bonds mediate the characteristic L-shaped molecular structure. tRNAs have two regions of fundamental functional importance: the anti-codon, which is responsible for specific mRNA codon recognition, and the 3' end, to which the tRNAs corresponding amino acid is attached (by aminoacyl-tRNA synthetases). tRNAs cope with the degeneracy of the genetic code in two manners: having more than one tRNA (with a specific anti-codon) for a particular amino acid; and 'wobble' base-pairing, i.e. permitting non-standard base-pairing at the 3rd anti-codon position.
Source: Rfam by way of RNAcentral